RNAcentral lists this transfer RNA (72 nucleotides) under Symbiopectobacterium purcellii. Its description in RNAcentral is "Candidatus Symbiopectobacterium sp. SyEd1 tRNA-OTHER". The record is from RNAcentral. Lineage: Bacteria; Pseudomonadati; Pseudomonadota; Gammaproteobacteria; Enterobacterales; Enterobacteriaceae.
GGCGGAUUCAUCAGGUGAUGGCGUGUGUUUUGGGGCUCACGUUCGUAGGUUCAAUUCCUUCAUUCGCCACCA